UAGGGAAUCUUCGGCAAUGGACGAAAGUCUGCCCGCGCAACGCCGCGUGAGUGAAGAAGGUUUUCGGUUCGUAAAACUCUGUUGUUAGAGAAGAACAAGGACGUUAGUAACUGAACGUCCCCUGACGGUAUCUAACCAGAAAGCCACGGCUAACUACGUGCCAGCAGCCGCGGUAAUACGUAGGUGGCAAGCGUUGUCCGGCUUUAUUGGGCGUAAAGCGAGCGCAGGCGGUUUCUUAAGUCUGAUGUGAAAGCCCCCGGCUCAACCGGGGAGGGUCAUUGGAAACUGGGAGACUUGAGAGAAGCAGAGGAGAGUGGAAUUCCAUGUGUGGCGGUGAAAUGCGUAGAUAUAUGGAGGAACGCAAGUGGCGAAGGCGGCUCUCUGGUCUGUAAAGGACUAUGAGGCUCGAAAGCGUGGGGAGCAAACAGG
Molecule: ribosomal RNA, 429 nt
Filed under: Gemmatimonadota bacterium
Lineage: Bacteria; Pseudomonadati; Gemmatimonadota
Description: Gemmatimonadetes bacterium partial 16S ribosomal RNA
Rfam family: Bacterial small subunit ribosomal RNA
Source: RNAcentral